RNAcentral lists this long non-coding RNA (401 nucleotides) under Homo sapiens (human). RNAcentral's name for it is "non-protein coding lnc-ERLEC1-3:1". Lineage: Eukaryota; Metazoa; Chordata; Mammalia; Primates; Hominidae. The record is from RNAcentral.
AUCGCUUCUCGGCCUUUCGGCUAAGAUCAAAUAUAAAUGAGUGCCAUACUGCUUUUGCUUCACAGAAAUGUCUUCUGCCUCAUGCACCAUUCUCUACUGUCAUCUCCCACCUGAGAGAACACAUAGAAGGGCUCAGCAAAAUUCUCUGUAAAAUGAGUACAGCAAUUAAUUUUUUCCUGGCAACAUAUGACACUCAUUUUUCCCAUAUGUUAUUUUUAUUAUGCUAAUGCAAUUCAAAAAUCUGGCGAAUAUUUCAUUAGUAAGAUUAAAAUGUCACCUUGGGAAUUCUGGCUAGGUUACAUGCCAAACCCUCUCUUCUUUGAUAAUCUUUUGGUGUUGGUAAACAAUGCAAGCACAAUGCCAAUUAUCUAGAUCCAGAUCAUGUUUAUCAUUUAAGUGAC